AUUUUCCCUCCGGGCUGUCUACCCAUCAACGAGGGGGACCGGUGAACCCCUCCUCUGUGGCUCAGUCCCUAGCAGCGCAGGUAACGGGACAAGGAGCUAAGUAGCUUCUAACCCAGCAAGUGACGCUGGGAGGUGGCGGAUGAGAGCCGCACCUGGAUGUGAAGCGUUCUUGUUUUCAACUCCUUCUCCAGGGUUUGGGAGGGGAAAUGGCAGCUGUGUGUGGCGGUGACCGGUGGCUGCUCCCUGCGCGAAAUUCAGAAAGAAAGCAGCGGCUCCCGGGGGCUUGGCCCUCCCGCCUCAGCCCUCCUCGGCAGAAGCCCUGGUGAUGAUUGCUGCUGGGACAGUGAGCCUACAAGUUGUUCUACAAAGUAAUCAUUACAAGCAACUGUCAGAGCUGCCACCAUGACCACGAAUUCAUUAAAAUCCACUUCGUUGUCCUUAUUGGCAUCCAGGUCCUGCAUUACCUUAUCAACCAAUUGUGGGUCCUUUUGGCUCUAAAAGGAAAAAGAAAAUGUCUAACUCCCAGGCUUGGAGGUUCAUGACAACUGAAAUUGCAUUUUCCUUUUAUUUAUGCUCUAGUUUUUAUUUGUUUUAGCAUCUAAGGACA
This 607-nucleotide long non-coding RNA is filed under the name Vulpes vulpes (red fox). RNAcentral describes it as "lncRNA (ENSVVUG00000025123.1)". The record is from RNAcentral. Lineage: Eukaryota; Metazoa; Chordata; Mammalia; Carnivora; Canidae.